This 1100-nucleotide long non-coding RNA is filed under the name Setaria viridis. Its description in RNAcentral is "long non-coding RNA (SVIR_LNC006986)". The record is from RNAcentral. Lineage: Eukaryota; Viridiplantae; Streptophyta; Magnoliopsida; Poales; Poaceae.
GAAUCUCAGAAAAAUGUACCAAGAAAGAGAGAUACGGAUAUGAAAAGCUAGCACGGGGUGCGUGGAGAAGGGCGCGGUAUGCGUGGGAGGGUACGGAGUUGCCCUGGAGGGUCGUGACCCAGGGGGGUGCACGGCGCGCGCAAGGGGAGUUUCCACCGAAACAAAACCGGAUCACCUUCCUUCUCCCUGUUGUAGGAUUGGCGAGCAGCGGAACGGCGGCGGCGAAAACUAGGGUUAGAAGAAAAAUGAGAAACAAGAGAUUAAAUACAAGUAACCAGCAACAAUUGAACGAGUAGGCACACAAAUUCAACAAAGACACUUAUUGAAAGAAUGUGCGAGGCUAAACGGUUGCUGGGACAAGGAUCUAACCUGAAAAAAAAUUGUUUUGGUUUUUGUGGACUGUAGGAAGGGAAAAACACUCGGUAAAACUCACCGAUCAACCUAGAAAUCUGAUACCACUUGAUAGAGUCGGAGUGCCCGAUCUUUCGGUGAGUGGAGAUAAAUUCGACUUGGUGGAAGUAGACCCUCAUGAUCCGACUACGACGAGCGAACCCGAAGCGCCAAUGCAAUCGCUGAACCAACUCCUUGUGGUUACCAACCUUGCCAGCGCAAGAUCAGCCUGAUCACAAAGAUCGAUUCCUAUCCGCAAUCGAAGAAUGAACAAGAAAAAGAGGCGAGCAAUCUAAAUAUCACUCGAAGGUGGAGUUCUGAAUCACACAAGGACAGCACGUAUUUGCGCGUGUUUGAGAGUAGCUAAAGCUCGAUGUAAAACAAAACUCAAGUCAUAAACAAAAGGGACUCCGACUAAAUAAAGGGGGCGCAGCCCCUGGAGUCCGGAGGAGGCGCCACGGCAGGGGGGGCGCGCGCGACCAGGGGGAGGGCCGCGGCUCCCAACCCUAGGCGCCCCACCUGGGUUGCCCUGUUGGGCCAUCUUCUUAUUCCGCUGGGCCUUCGUUCCUUAACAGCAUGAUGAAGUUUAAUUCUCUCGCACGGGCCCGAGUGAUUGGCCCAACUGGAUGAUCAACUAUAGGCGCCUGAGGUGGAGGAGCAACUGGAGGCACCUGAGGUGCUGCUGGUGUAGAUGUACUCGUGGUGUCCUC